UUUUUUUUUUUUUUUUUGAGGUUUAUCAUUAGUCUGCUGACUUUGUUCAUGGUGGUGUUCAGCAUGCCAAAAAAAAUUUUUUUUAAUCUUUUAAGUUUUUAUGUAGUCAGAUGUAUAAAUCUUUUUUGUUUAUAGUUCCUUAGAUGUUGUGUGAUAGUCACUCAUUUAUUUAUUCCAAAUAUUUAUUGAGAUUGUACCAUGGGUCACAAAGUUCUAGAUACAACAGUGAACAACACAGACCAAGAGCUGCACUAAUGGAGCUUAUAUCAUUAUGGAAUGUUUAGAUUCCAAACAUUGGAUUUUUGGAUUUUUCAAAAGCCAAAUCUAUUGCACUCAAAUUGUUUUUGUUUUACUUAACACAUCACAAACAUCUUCCCGUUGCAAUUAUAGAGAUUUAUCUACUUUUUUUCAUGGUUCUAGUAUUCUUUUUUCAGCACAUAACAUAAAUGUUGUAGUGUGCCUGGGUGGCUCAGUUGGUUAAGCGGCCAACUCUUGGUUUUGGCUCAGGUCAUGUCCUCAGAGCCCUGGGAUACAGCCCUGGGUAGGCUCUGUGUUGGGCAUGGAGCUCAUGCUCAGCUGGGAGUCUGCUUGUAGAUUCACUUUCUCAGUCUUCUUUUGCCCCUCCUCUCUCUCUCUCUCCUCUCUCUCUCUCUCUCUCUUUCUCUCUUAGAUAGAUGAUAGAUACAUCUUUUUUUAAAAAAUUACUUUAUUAAAAAAAUAAUAACAAUAAAAAAUAAAUGUUGCAGCCAGUUCCUUGCUGAGCCCAUACUCAUAAUCAAGGAUCAGCCAACUCUUUAGGGUCAGAUCAUAUAUAUUUUAGUUUUCAUAAACCAUAUUGUUGUAACACAAAAGCAGCCAUCAAUAAUACCUUGAAAAAAUAAGCACAGCUGUAUUCCAGCAAAACUUUAUGGACACUAAAAUUUUAAUUUCACAAAAUUUUCACAUCACAUACAAUAUUUUAUUUACUUCUAUUUUUUCCCAUUUAAAAAUAUAAAAACAAAACAAAACAAAACCCACAGAAACUCAGCCUUAUAAAACAGACAUGAAAACAGAAAGUGGGCUGGAUUUGGCAUGUGGGCCUUAGUUUACUGACCUCUGCUCUAAACCAUUCUAGUGCAUUUCUUCCCAAAGAUCCUCUGAGCUAUGAAUUUCAAUGGCCUCUUAUAGAAUCAGAUUAUGAAACAACGGAGAAUUCCACUGCCAAAGCCAACAGUGGUAAUAAUAAUAGUCACGGUAAUAACAAUAAUAAUAAAUCACAUCUUCAAUUGCAGUAAAGAAAGGGCCGGCCCCAGUCUCUGUUUGUCCUGCAGCACUGGGCAUGACAGUGUAUCCUGCUCUUAGCACAGUGGAGCUCUGGUUGAAUGACUAGAGUGCCAGGUUUACACAAGAAUCAUGCAAUAUGUUCCCUGAGCCCUGGCGCCACUGGGCAUCCCAGAUGCCUUUCACUCAUCAAUCUAUCCACCAAUCCUGUUUUGUUUUUCCACAUUGCACUCAGGGCACCUGACAUUACAUUAUAUAUUUAUAUAUUCACAUGUUUCUUGCUGUCUUCCCCACCAGAAUGAGGGCAGGAACAUUGUCUGCCCUAUUCAUUGUUUAUUCCCAGACCCUAGAACCAGGCUUGGCAUAUGGUGGGUAUUCAAUACACAUUUGUCGGGAUCCCUGGGUGGCGCAGCGGUUUAGCGCCUGCCUUUGGCCCAGGGCGCGAUCCUGGAGAACCAGGAUCGAAUCCCACGUCAGGCUCCCGGUGCAUGGAGCCUGCUUCUCCCUCUGCCUGUGUCUCUGCCUCUCUCUCUCUCUCUCUCUGUGACUAUCAUAAAUAAAUAAAAAUUUAAAAAAAUUAAAAAAAAAUACACAUUUGUCAACUGGAUGAGUCACCUAUCUCCAUAAAUCCCCCACUUGGCAUCAGGUAGGUGGGGUCUGAACUCUCAUAAAUACGGAAAGUCUUACUAUGCAAAUGGAAAUUUCUGCUUCAGAGAGAAUCAGUGAGGACCAGGUUACUAUUAGCCAAAGUCUCUGUACAGCUGUAUAGGUUGAGUAGAAAAGGUAAAUGGGGGUGGGGGUGAGGGGCAGCUCACAGUUUCUUCAUUGUCCUACACUUCUCCCACAACUCAAAGGAUAAAUAAGGUCCAUUUCAAUGACCGAACACCUAAGCACCAAUGAUUAAUGAGUGUAUGCUCAUUCAUACACCAAUGAGUGUAUGCUUUUGACUCUUAAGCUGGAAGAAGCAGUUUCUCUGCUUGGGUACCCAGAGCAAAAGUUUUUUACUUUGACCCAAAGUCAAAAAUAAAGCACUUGCCUACUUCUUGUUCUCAGGCACCAGUUUGGCCAUUUCUGGACCAGUUCAUCAUUAUUGAAACGUUUCUGCGCUAAUGAGGAAUGAGAAUAUGAAAUUUUCAUGGUGGGAAAUAACUUCUGGUUUUUGCAUGUAAUUUAUGGAAGAUGGACUUUUUUUCCAAAAAUAUUUCUAUAUAAUAUUUAUAAUUUAAGUAGAACCCAACUAAAAUUUAAGAAGAAAAUUAAACCUCCUAGAGGAAGCACUACAGAAAACCCUGCGUAAACUUUAUCUAUAUCAGGUUGAAUGCUCCAGAUGGUGGGUAUUGAAGCUGUUACAGUUUUCUCUAUAGUCAUCUGCAAAAUAGUUGUCUAGUUUAAUUAGUUCUUAAGGUCAUGCACAAAAUAAAACAGUCCCCAUCCCCGAAUAUGUUGUGAUUGCCAGGUGUGUAAGAUAGCAGUUAGGUCACUAACUGGGGGUAAAUAUGGGUUCAGGGCACAUACAAGAGGAAUGUUUGGCAAGGUCUUUUCCUACAGAGUGAUUCUAAUCAAGUAGAGAUUGUAGGAAUCUGGGAAAAGAGGCUUUUUGGUCUUACAGUCACACUGGCACACUGAGCAUUAUUUACACUCAUUGUGAAAUUGGUGAGGGGUAGGCUAGCUUAUUAAUCACUAAAGUAAUAUCCAGCUCUAAAACUUUUUCUAAAUUUAAAUACCACCUUAGCACAUUCAGACUUUUCAGUGCCUAUUUUGUGAUGUCAAGAAAAAGCCCCACGUUGUAAAACAAUAAACUUCUUUUCUACUAUAAGUAUUGAAAAGCUCAUUAAGUAUACUUAGAGCACCCACGGUGCACACAGCUAGGUACAGCAGAUAUAGAGAGUAAGACAAAUAAGGAGUUUGUAGUCUAGUACAUUGACCAUUUCUUAUGUCUUUGUCUUCUAUAUGCAUUCUGUAUCUGGUGGAGUAAAAAAACAGGUAAGAACAGAUCCCGUGGGAGCUAUAUGGGACAUAUAAAAUAACCCGGGCUUUGUUGAAAAGCAUUCUUAUUUCCUAUGCAAUUGGCAUGUGGUAAUUAUAUUUGCUUUCUAAUUCCUAAUGAGCACUUCUUAAGUAAUUGGCACCCUGUUCAUGCUCCCCAGUACUAAGAAUUACACUGGAUCACCUCCACGGAAGUGGUGUAUGUGUAAUUUGAUGAACUGGAAGGGUAAGGCAUCCACUGUAAUUGAAAUCAAUUUCCCUCUUGCAUUUAAUAUUGUCACCCUAAGAAGGGGAAAAGAAGUCAUGCAUAAUUAUGAUCAAAAGGGAGUUGCUCAGGCAUUUCAAGGGCUCCUUCAUACAAUGACCCAGAGACGAACUGGAUAAAGUCAUGCUAUUCCCAUGGUGUGGAGCCCAGAAGCCUGCAAUGGAGAACCAACUGCUGAGGUCAGUCCGCUUAAACUCGGCAAACCUAAUCAAACGCCAACCAU
Molecule: long non-coding RNA, 3734 nt
Filed under: Canis lupus familiaris (dog)
Lineage: Eukaryota; Metazoa; Chordata; Mammalia; Carnivora; Canidae
Description: lncRNA (ENSCAFG00845012579.1)
Source: RNAcentral